UUAACAAAGUAAUAGAUACUUACGAUACAUGUAAAAAAUACUAGAAAAUUACAGGCUAAAGAGGUCAACAAACUGGAGGUUAAACAAAAUAGUUUAAUUUUCGAUGUGUGCGUGUUUGAGCGGUCCAAGAUUUAUUUUUAAAUUUUAGUGUAAAAAAUACUAACCUUAAUAAAAAGUGAAACGAGGUAAUCAAGAGGAAUGUCUUUGCAGGGGUGGUGGAAUGGUAUUUUUUAUGGUUCGUUUUUUAGCCGCAAACCAGUUAACGACUAUAGUGGAUAAAUUGGGAAAAACUCACAAAAUAUAUUACCCAUUACUGGAGUAUAAACUGCAAAAUGUUCAGAUGGCAUCAUUAAAUCGCCAAAAAUCACAUCUUCAUUGAAGAGUUUAAAAUAUCACACAAUUAAAACAGGAUGUACCACUUCGUAAGAAUGUGCAAAGUUCACACACACUUCACAGAAGUGGUGGUUUGAGUUUCCGGUAAUUCACAUCACUUAAUGAUUGUUGAAGAGGCCAGAAUACAGGGAAGAUGUGUUGUGGAAGUUUGUUUAAAAGAACACCUUAGCAAAUUUUUCAUUUCAAAUAAAAUAGUGUUUCACAGUUGGUUCCUGCACUUGUAUUGAAAUAAUCUGUAGUAAAUAGUUCCCGAAACGCUCUUUGGAAUUGUAUUGGUGUGGGAUUUAUACAAUUCCCAAAUUGACGCCUCACAGCCAAAACAAUACUGAUUUAGUUGCAGCAACCUUUUAGUGAAAAUUGUAAACAAAUUGUAUUCUGUGAAAACUAUUAAAAAUAAUAAGCAAAAUGUUUAUGUUCCUGAA
Long non-coding RNA from Zophobas morio, 815 nucleotides. RefSeq lists it as uncharacterized. The record is from RefSeq and is a predicted model, not a curated record. NCBI's taxonomy places the organism in Eukaryota, Metazoa, Arthropoda, Insecta, Coleoptera, Tenebrionidae. The transcript is spliced from 2 exons.